This 601-nucleotide unclassified non-coding RNA is filed under the name Hevea brasiliensis (rubber tree). The record is from RNAcentral. Lineage: Eukaryota; Viridiplantae; Streptophyta; Magnoliopsida; Malpighiales; Euphorbiaceae.
GAGAGAGAGAGAGAGAAGGGGAUGUCUCUCAUUCAUAAGCUGCCACCAGACCAGAAAACAAGUUUAGGAGAACUAUCUAGUUGUUAAUCUUCCUAUAAUGUAAUGUGUCUAAGUAGCUAUGCUAUGAAGAAUUACUGAACCAUAGAGAAUAAAAUUUUCCUGUUAUUCUAAAAUUACUAAUAUGCCAUUUCCAUGUCAAUAUAUUGUAGAACUUCCAUCAGUAACAUCUUGAAACUGAAAAUUUUGGAAAGCCCGUUUAGUUGCAACAAAAAUCAAAUCUUGAUAGUGGCUGCUCAUUUUGGAUGUAACAUUGUGUGAACUCCAGAUCCCCAAUAAUUUUGAAUUGUAAUGUCCCAUGAUGUUCAUUUUUGUUUCCCCUAUUGCUUUUCAACCAGAUGGUCCACCAGAAAAACUUGUCUAUAGCAUCUAUAGUAUUUUUUUUUGUUUUUGGAUAAAAUACGUGGAUUUAUCCAUUAUUACCUUGUGUAGACUUCAAGCUGAACAAGAGAGACUGGAAAGAAUAGGUCAUAUGGCAUAUUACUCAGAAUAGGUAAAAGCAAAGAAAGGAGAAAACUUAUGUGAAGCUAUUCAGAAGCAUUUU